RNAcentral lists this long non-coding RNA (2134 nucleotides) under Malus domestica (apple). RNAcentral describes it as "long non-coding RNA (MDOM_LNC004353)". Lineage: Eukaryota; Viridiplantae; Streptophyta; Magnoliopsida; Rosales; Rosaceae. The record is from RNAcentral.
GUAGGCGUCAAAGAUAUGAAACUUGUGUAGAUGAUGAAAACAUGAAAAAUGUUACUUAUGCAACAUUCAAUUCAAGGAUACGUAGGCCGUUGAAAUACGGUCGCUGCUACACACCAAAAGCACAACGGAGAACCGGGAGAUAUUUCAGAAAGCGGCAGACACCUUCAUUUUACACCCCACCGUCCCACAUGUCUUAUAUAUAGACAUAAUGUGCAUGCCCUUAUGGAAAAGAAUCUCCAUUUUUUCAGAAAAUGAGGAUAGUUGUGGGUUCGAUCUCACUUUUUGUUCAUAUAUAUGUAUACUAGCCUUCACGCGCGUGCAUAAUGCAUUUUUUGAAUCACAAUGUGCUACGCACGACUUAUACGUUUUAAAUGUAUUUAUAUGCAUGAAUUGCUUCAAUAAUUUUUUUAUGACAAAAAGAAAGUCAAAUAUUUGAAGUAAAUGAAUAAUAUUAGACUAUGCUAUAAGAAACCUCUCAUAAACCAAUUAAAGCAGUUGAAUCCACAUAAUAAAAUCGGUCUUUCAAUUUCCAUCUACAUUCUAUUGAAUUUACAUUAGGGAUAAAGAAAAUAAUAUUUAAUAAACAACUGAUUGAAUCACAUUAUUGCUAGCACAUUGUGACAUUAAGCCCACCCGUUCACCCUUAGUGUAGAUAACAUCAUUUGUUAAAAAAAUAUAUAUAUAUUUGACAACUAAUUGAUUCACAUUAUUAUGCGUGUGUGAAAGACAUUUUUUAUAACUAGCACUACGCGUCUCUUAAGUGUUUAAAAAUAGAAAAAAUAAUAUUUAAUAAACAACUGAUUGAAUCACAUUAUUGUGCGCGUGCGAAAGACCUUUUUUAUUACCGGCGGUACUCGUCUCUUAAGAUAUUUUGAACGUGUUUUAAAAUAGAGAAAAUAAUAUUUAAUAAACAACUGAUUGAAUCACAUUAUUGGUAGCCUAUUGUGAGGCUAAGCCCAUCCCCCUCCCCCCUCAGUGUAGAUAAUAUCGUUUGUUCGGAAAAAAAAAUCAUUUGACAACUAAUUGAAUCACAUUAUUAUGCGUGUGCGAAAGACUAUUUUUAAAACCGGCACUACGCGCAUUUUAAGAUGUUUUGAACAUGUUUAAAAAUAGAGAAAAUAAUAUUUAAUAAACAACUAAUUGAAUCAUAUUAUUGUUAGCCCAUUGUGAAACUAAGCCCACCCCCCCUCUCCUUUAGUGUAGAUAUCACUUGUUAAAAAAAAUUAAUAAUAAUUUGACAACUAAUUGAAUCACAUUAUUAUACGCGUGUAAAAGACCUUUUUAUAACCGGCACCACACAUCUCUUAAGAUGUUUUGAAUGUGUUUAAAAAUAGAGAAAAUAAUAUUUAAUAAACAACUGAUUGAAUAACAUUAUCAAUAGUCUAUUGUGAGGUACUAAUUAUAAAAAUAAAAAUAAAAAAACUGUACACAAAGAAUUAAUUGUUAAAAAACAUUGUUUAUAUAACGAAAAUACCCCUGCAUUAUUUGGUGCAUUAUAUUGUUGCUUUUGAACUUUUUUUGUCUUGGGGACAUUUGUGUCUAAAAUUUUUUGGUGAAGCCGUGACUCCAAAUUGGGGCGCUAGCUUUAUAUAUGCAGAAGAUAUACAUAUAUAUUUGACAUACAUUGUGGGCUCGAUUGAUAUCCAAAUUUUGUUCAUUUUAAACAUUGUUCAAAAAAAUUAUUUAUUUAUUUAAUUAUUACGAUACAACAAAGAGUUCGUCAAUUUCUUUAAACUUAAUUAGAUGUCUCGAAUAUUUUCGAUUUGACUAAUAUUUUGUAAGAAUGAUUAAUGAGAUGUAACUUGAAAAAUAAAUAAUUUGAAUUCUUAAAGUUCAACUUGAUGUAGUCCCCAAACUAAUCUCCAUUUUUGUGAAAAAAUAAAGAUCCUUUAUCCUUAAGAUCGUUAAAAUUAUAAUCCUUUAUUUUAAAGAUCGUUGAAAUUCGAUCACACCUUUGUUUUUUUUAACAGAAUCUCACUUAAAUUUCUCCUGCAGCCAAACUAGGGCUGCACCGAAAUUCAACUAAAAGCAGUGGGGUGGGGUGUGCGGUACACCGCUGAUCUUCGGUUACGGACGCGUGUCCAACGACAGACCCUUGUGGCACGUGACGCCCGCCCCACUAUCCGUUGUUUUC